GACGAACGCUGGCGGCGUGCUUAACACAUGCAAGUCGAACGAAGAGCGAUGGACUCUUGCUUCUAUCAAUCUUAGUGGCGAACGGGUGAGUAACGCGUAAUCAACCUGCCCUUCAGAGGGGGAUAACAGUUGGAAACGACUGCUAAUACCGCAUACGAUCUAAUCUCGGCAUCGAGGAUAGAUGAAAGGUGGCCUCUACAUGUAAGCUAUCACUGAAGGAGGGGAUUGCGUCUGAUUAGCUAGUUGGAGGGGUAACGGCCCACCAAGGCGAGGAUCAGUAGCCGGUAGGAGAGGAUGAACAGCCACAUUGGGACGGAGACACGGCCCAGACGCCUACGGGAGGCAGCAGUGGGGAAUCUUCCGCAAGGGACGAAAGUCUGACGGAGCAACGCCGCGUGAGCGAUGACGGCCUUCGGGUUGUAAAGCUCUGUUAAUCGGGACGAAAGGCCUUCUUGCGAAUAGUGAGAAGGAUUGACGGUACCGGAAUAGAAAGCCACGGCUAACUACGUG
RNAcentral lists this ribosomal RNA (510 nucleotides) under uncultured bacterium. RNAcentral describes it as "partial 16S ribosomal RNA". It matches the Rfam family "Bacterial small subunit ribosomal RNA", at positions 28 to 507 of the family's 1533-position model. The record is from RNAcentral.